Molecule: microRNA precursor, 160 nt
Filed under: Eucalyptus grandis
Lineage: Eukaryota; Viridiplantae; Streptophyta; Magnoliopsida; Myrtales; Myrtaceae
Description: MIR394 microRNA precursor family
Rfam family: MIR394 microRNA precursor family
Source: Rfam by way of RNAcentral
CCAACAGAGUCCGUUGGCAUUCUGUCCACCUCCGACCGAUCUUCACCUCAGAACCCUCCCCAAAAAGUAGAACAGAAAAAGGGGAAGGAAGAAAGAUUCUUCGUCAAGUCUCUCUCGUGAUCUCUUGGAGGUGGGCAGAUUGCCAACUGAGCUCUGUUAG